CUGGCGGCAUGCCUUACACAUGCAAGUCNAGCGGCAGCGCGGGGGCAACCCUGGCGKCGAGCGGCGAACGGGUGAGUAAUGCAUCGGAACGUGUCCUCUUGUGGGGGAUAACCAGUCGAAAGACUGGCUAAUACCGCAUGAGAUCGAGAGAUGAAAGCAGGGGACCGCAAGGCCUUGCGCGAGAGGAGCGGCCGAUGCCGGAUUAGCUAGUUGGUGGGGUAAAAGCCUACCAAGGCGACGAUCCGUAGCUGGUAUGAGAGUACGACCAGCCACACUGGGACUGAGACACGGCCCAGACCCCUACGGGAGGCAGCAGUGGGGAAUUUUGGACAAUGGGGGCAACCCUGAUCCAGCCAUGCCGCGUGUGUGAAGAAGGCCUUCGGGUUGUAAAGCACUUUCGGACGGAACGAAAUCGCGCGGGUGAACAUCCCGCGUGGAUGACGGUACCGUAAGAAGAAGCACCGGCUAACUACGUGCCAGCAGCCGCGGUAAUACGUAGGGUGCGAGCGUUAAUCGGAAUUACUGGGCGUAAAGUGUGCGCAGGCGGCCGCGCAAGUCGAGUGUGAAAGCCCCGGGCUUAACUUGGGAAUUGCGCUCGAAACUACGUGGCUGGAGU
Molecule: ribosomal RNA, 616 nt
Filed under: uncultured soil bacterium
Lineage: Bacteria
Description: bacterial SSU rRNA
Rfam family: Bacterial small subunit ribosomal RNA
Source: RNAcentral